This 250-nucleotide ribosomal RNA is filed under the name uncultured bacterium. RNAcentral describes it as "partial 16S ribosomal RNA". It matches the Rfam family "Bacterial small subunit ribosomal RNA", at positions 524 to 773 of the family's 1533-position model. The record is from RNAcentral.
UACGGAGGAUCCGAGCGUUAUCCGGAAUUAUUGGGUUUAAAGGGUGCGCAGGCGGGGAUCUAAGUCAGGGGUGAAAGACGGUGGCUCAACCAUCGCAGUGCCUUUGAUACUGGAUUCCUUGAAUAUACCUGAGGUAGGCGGAAUGUGGCAAGUAGCGGUGAAAUGCAUAGAUAUGCCACAGAACACCGAUUGCGAAGGCAGCUUACCAAAGUAUGAUUGACGCUGAGGCACGAAAGCGUGGGGAUCGAAC